UACGUAGGGUGCGAGCGUUAAUCGGAAUUACUGGGCGUAAAGCGUGCGCAGGCGGUUUUGUAAGCCAGAUGUGAAAGCCCCGGGCUUAACCUGGGAAUGGCAUUUGGGACUGCAAGGCUUGAGUGCGGCAGAGGAGACUGGAAUUCCUGGUGUAGCAGUGAAAUGCGUAGAUAUCAGGAGGAAUACCGAUGGCGUAGGCAGGUCUCUGGGCUGACACUGACGCUCAUGCACGAAAGCGUGGGGAGCAAACAGG
This 253-nucleotide ribosomal RNA is filed under the name uncultured bacterium. Its description in RNAcentral is "partial 16S ribosomal RNA". It matches the Rfam family "Bacterial small subunit ribosomal RNA", at positions 524 to 776 of the family's 1533-position model. The record is from RNAcentral.